UGGCAAAUUGUACCACAUUCAGCUCUUGU
This 29-nucleotide non-coding RNA is filed under the name Mus musculus (house mouse). Lineage: Eukaryota; Metazoa; Chordata; Mammalia; Rodentia; Muridae. The record is from RNAcentral.